CGAACGGGUGAGUAACGCGUGAGGAACCUGCCUCAAAGAGGGGGACAACAGUUGGAAACGACUGCUAAUACCGCAUAAGCCCACGGCUCGGCAUCGAGCAGAGGGAAAAGGAGUGAUCCGCUUUGAGAUGGCCUCGCGUCCGAUUAGCUAGUUGGUGAGGUAACGGCCCACCAAGGCGACGAUCGGUAGCCGGCCUGAGAGGGUGAACGGCCACAUUGGGACUGAGACACGGCCCAA
This 237-nucleotide ribosomal RNA is filed under the name uncultured bacterium. RNAcentral's name for it is "partial 16S ribosomal RNA". It matches the Rfam family "Bacterial small subunit ribosomal RNA", at positions 99 to 334 of the family's 1533-position model. The record is from RNAcentral.